RNAcentral lists this ribosomal RNA (825 nucleotides) under Ophiocordyceps sp. RNAcentral describes it as "partial 18S rRNA". It matches the Rfam family "Eukaryotic small subunit ribosomal RNA", at positions 132 to 631 of the family's 1831-position model. The record is from RNAcentral. Lineage: Eukaryota; Fungi; Ascomycota; Sordariomycetes; Hypocreales; Ophiocordycipitaceae.
UUACUACUUGGAUACCGUGGUAUUCUAGAGCUAAUACAUGCUGAAAAUCCCGACUGCGGAAGGGAUGUAUUUAUUAGAUUAAAAAACCAAUGCCCUCUGGGCUCUCUGGUGAUUCAUGAUAACUGCGCGAAUCGCAUGUGGCCUUGCGCCGGCGAUGGUUCAUUCAAAUUUCUUCCCUAUCAACUUUCGAUGUUUGGGUAGUGACCAAACAUGGUUGCAACGGGUAACGGAGGGUUAGGGCUCGGCCCCGGAGAAGGAGCCUGAGAAACGGCUACUACAUCCAAGGAAGGCAGCAGGCGCGCAAAUUACCCAAUCCCGACACGGGGAGGUAGUGACGAAUAAAUACUGAUACAGGGCUCUUUUGGGUCUUGUAAUUGGCAUGAGUACAAUUUAAAUCCCUUAACGAGGAACAAUUGGAGGGCAAGUCUGGUGAACACGUUGCUGGUGCCAGAGAGAGCCGCCCCUCCGUAAACCGGUGCGGCUAGUCGAGUGCUCGCGUCAGUGGCGGGUGAGCACCGGCGAGACAACCUGGGUCGGGGAAAGGCUAAGGGCCCCUCGGGGCCUAUGCUGAUCCCGAGCAGAGCCGUGCUGCGCAGCCGGCCUGUGUAGAGCGCGCCAAGGUGUCGGUCCGGGGGGGUCGCCUCCCCCGGGCUUGAGGUACGUGCCAAUCCCCUGCGAAAGCAGGGCCCUGCGGACGGAGCACCCGUCAUGCGAAGCCGCCGGGGGGGCAGGCGGCCCCGCCGGGGCCCCUGCCGUGAGCCACAGUGGCCAGCAGCCGCGGUAUUCAGCUCCAUAGCGUAUAUAAGUGGUGUGGUUAAAGCUCGU